CAGAGGGUGCAAACGUUGUUCGGAAUUACUGGGCGUAAAGCGCGUGUAGGCGGCUAUGCAAGUCGGAUGUGAAAGCCCUCGGCUCAACCGGGGAAGUGCACCCGAAACUGCAAAGCUAGAGUCUCGGAGAGGAUCGUGGAAUUCUCGGUGUAGAGGUGAAAUUCGUAGAUAUCGAGAGGAACACCGGUGGCGAAGGCGGCGAUCUGGACGAUGACUGACGCUGAGACGCGAAAGCGUGGGGAGCAAACAGGAUUAGAUACCCUGGUAGUCCACGCCGUAAACGAUGGGUGCUAGGUGUCGCGGGCUUUGACCCCUGCGGUGCCGCAGCUAACGCAUUAAGCACCCCGCCUGGGAAGUACGGCCGCAAGGCUA
Molecule: ribosomal RNA, 372 nt
Filed under: uncultured organism
Description: bacterial SSU rRNA
Rfam family: Bacterial small subunit ribosomal RNA
Source: RNAcentral